AGGGUGUAAACGCUGCAGACUUGGUGUUGGAAGUCCUUUGGGGGCAUUCAGUGCCGGAGAGAAGUUGUUAAGUCUGCUACUUGGGGAGUACGUCCGCAAGGAUGAAACUUAAAGGAAUUGGCGGGGGGAGCACCGCAACGGGAGGAGCGUGCGGUUUAAUUGGAUUCAACACCGUAAAACUCACCAGGGAAGACUGUUACAUGAAAGCCGAGAUGAAGACUCUGCUAGAUUUUUCAGAGAGGUGGUGCAUGGCGUCAGUGACU
Molecule: ribosomal RNA, 263 nt
Filed under: uncultured archaeon
Lineage: Archaea
Description: partial 16S ribosomal RNA
Rfam family: Archaeal small subunit ribosomal RNA
Source: RNAcentral